Molecule: ribosomal RNA, 555 nt
Filed under: Peckoltia vittata
Lineage: Eukaryota; Metazoa; Chordata; Actinopteri; Siluriformes; Loricariidae
Description: partial 16S ribosomal RNA
Rfam family: Bacterial large subunit ribosomal RNA
Source: RNAcentral
AAAAACAUCGCCUCCCGCAAAAAUCAAUGUAUAGGAGGUCUUGCCUGCCCAGUGACUAUAAGUUAAACGGCCGCGGUAUUUUGACCGUGCAAAGGUAGCGCAAUCACUUGUCUUUUAAAUGAAGACCUGUAUGAACGGUGAAACGAGGGCUUAACUGUCUCCCCCUUCUAGUCAAUGAAAUUGAUCUACCCGUGCAGAAGCGGAUAUAAUAAUACAAGACGAGAAGACCCUUUGGAGCUUAAGAUAAAAGACCAAUUAUGUCAAAAGUCCUAAAACAAGACUAAACCAAAUAAUGCUGGUCCUAAUCUUCGGUUGGGGUGACCACGGGAGAAAACAAAACUCCCAUGCGGAUUGGGGUUAUUCCCUAAAACUAAGAAAGACAUCUCUAAGACACAGAACAUCUGACCACAAAGAUCCGGCUACAUACCGACCAACGGACCAAGUUACCCUAGGGAUAACAGCGCAAUCCCCUUCCAGAGUCCAUAUCGACAAGGGGGUUUACGACCUCGAUGUUGGAUCAGGACAUCCUAAUGGUGCAGCCGCUAUUAAGGGUUC